CCCCUCCCCUGUCCCGCCUCCUCCGGGGAGGAAACUCCGAGGGGUGAUUCACCGUGAUUCAAUUGCGCCGCCGAGCGCGACGCUUCCCUUCGGCCCCGGCGGCUCCAGGUGCGGCGGGGAACCGGGUUCCCCGGCCUCCCGGCCCCCUGACGCCCGGGCCACCCAGGCCGGCGACCCCGACGUCCGGCCUGAGUGGGCGGGGCUGCGGGGAAGAAGGCGGGGACGCCUUGGAAGGAGUUCUCGAGGUGGAGGUCCGGAGGUCAGUUAGCCCAGGCUCAGCCCAGCCCAGCUCGGGGUAGUGACUGAGGAAGAGCUCCCCCAGUCCGGCGGUUUGCCCUUGGGAGAAUUCCAGCAUGACAUCUGCAGCCCUGUGGUUCCAGAAAGGAUGGUUCUCACGCUGAAGAAGACAUUCGUGGGACUGAGUUACUUCCGCCCCAAGUGUAGAGAAACCAAAAAUGAAAUUUAAAAAUAUCAUCAGACUCUUGUGUGUGUGUGUGCCUGUCAUAAGCAUUGGGCUUUUUGAAUCUAUUUCUGGCUUCCUCUUUGGGCUUUCCUGUAAAAUUGUCAGGCAAGAGAAUGUUAAUUCUUAUUCUAAGUGGCACUGUACAAGGUCUUGUCAAAGUACCUGCCAUCAUUCCGUUUUUAUUACUCUGUAGUUGCCUCCAAGACAGACUGGACGGGUUUUAGGGAGAGAGCAGAGUCUCCUACUUUUUUUCUAGGGAAGUCAGCCUUGCCUUUUAGUACAUACUGCAUACACAUUUCCAUAUAACAUUAUGGAAUAAGCCAUAGCAAUACACUCAUUUUAAAGGCAAUAAAACCCUGCAAAGUUUUUUUCUCUCUGUGUCUGAACUGAGAUGAACUGAAAUAGCACAUCCAGGUUUAGCUCUUGUCCACCUUUCCUGGAAGCUGAAAUCUGCACUUGCUGGUUUCCUCUUUGAGCUCUCUUCCAGCUCUAAAACCCACAGAAUUUAUAUUUGCAAAACGAGACCAUGCAAGCCUCCUUUUUGUAGUCUCCGGGCCUGAGUCAUUUUCCCUAACAGAUCUUUAGCAAGCCUGGGAUGUGAUUCUUUGCACUGGAGUUGAAGGUACCUAGAAGAAAAUGUUACACUUGCGUUCCAAGACCCAGGGAGUUGUUGCUUUGUCUACAGAGUAAUUGGUUCCAUUUGGAGACACUGACUGUCCUGAAAUCAUAAAGGGCUUUAAGUGAUGUCAGGGUCAGCAAUUUGGCAAGAAAAAUAUGUUUAACGUUAGA
Mirounga angustirostris (Northern elephant seal) is the source of this 1252-nucleotide long non-coding RNA. RefSeq lists it as uncharacterized. NCBI's taxonomy places the organism in Eukaryota, Metazoa, Chordata, Mammalia, Carnivora, Phocidae. The record is from RefSeq and is a predicted model, not a curated record. The transcript has 2 exons.